GACUCCAGAUCUGGAGUGUAAUUUGACUCAUUUGAGAGUUUAGAAGCAGCCAGAGCCUUCCCGCUACAGCUCCCUUGGAGGGGGAGGGGCAUGAGACAGGUCACUUUGCUCAAAUGACAAGGUGGUGAUGACCCGCAACUCUGUUGUGAUGCAGAGAUUGUUGGGUCAGCCCCCAGGGGCUGCAGCAUUUCACACCAGGCUGUCGCCCAGAGCACAUGGCUGCUGCCUGUGGGUCUGAGUAUAGGGACCAGGGUGAUGGAGCAGGGCCUUUGGGACCAACCUGCUUCCAUUGCUAAAGAAGGGAACGUGAGACACAGAAGGAUGAAGGAAAGUAUUCUUGUCCAACUGCAACGUAAUCUCUUCUUUCUGUUGAUUUGAUCACUGCAGCUUGUCUGUCAGAAGUAGUAAGAGAACCUGUUCCUAUCAAGAGGUAAGGAAUGCACCUUCUCCUAGCAAUGGAGUGGAAACUAACCAAUCUCAGUGUACUUUCAGGUGAAGAAAGUGAACCUAUCCUUUGCUGUCAAAGGCUACAAGCAGUUUCAUAAGAUUAAAGCAAGAUACAUAACCAAAGCUUCUGAGAGGUUACAGAAGUAUUGACUUGCUCUAGCCAAAAAUAAGGAAACCACUUAUACCUACCAGAUUAACAAUACAGCUGAUUGUAUGGAGAGAAAGAGAAACCAAUCCAGCAAUUCAUCACGCAGAAGGAGGUCAUAUUUCGAGAUGCAAGGAUGACACAUGGCUGUCGUUUACAGGAAGGAAUUAGCUGAUCCAUCCUUUUAAGGAGGUAAGAAAUAUGGGAAUGGUGUAUUGUAAUAGUCAAUGGUUCUGGUCAUCCAUUCAGGUGGAAGGAAGGUAACUGAUGAAAUCUUCCUCUCUAAAGAGCACAAGAAGUUGCUGUACUGAAUAAAGCAAUAAAAAUGGGAGCUACCUGUUCAGAUGAAAGCAAAGUAGUUAGUAAUUCUAACCAAUGAUGAUGAUCUCUGCUCCUUUUUCCUUCCCAGAGAAGGCCAUUGGUUGUUCCUACAAGGAUGUAACAGGGAAGUUAUUUCAAAGAACAAGUGCAACUAACCAGAGUGUGAAGAUGAGCAUUGAGCCUGUUCUUGCAUUUGC
This is a long non-coding RNA of Mauremys reevesii (Reeves's turtle), 1110 nucleotides long. RefSeq lists it as uncharacterized. NCBI's taxonomy places the organism in Eukaryota, Metazoa, Chordata, Testudines, Geoemydidae. The transcript is spliced from 3 exons. The record is from RefSeq and is a predicted model, not a curated record.